UAGAAUGGUCAGGAGCGGGAGGAAAGAAGC
This 30-nucleotide non-coding RNA is filed under the name Homo sapiens (human). Lineage: Eukaryota; Metazoa; Chordata; Mammalia; Primates; Hominidae. The record is from RNAcentral.